Molecule: ribosomal RNA, 577 nt
Filed under: uncultured bacterium
Lineage: Bacteria
Description: partial 16S ribosomal RNA
Rfam family: Bacterial small subunit ribosomal RNA
Source: RNAcentral
UGGGAAUUUUGGACAAUGGGCGCAAGCCUGAUCCAGCAAUGCCGCGUGAGUGAAGAAGGCCUUCGGGUUGUAAAGCUCUUUUGUCAGGGAAGAAACGGGAUUGGCUAAUAUCCGAUCCUAAUGACGGUACCUGAAGAAUAAGCACCGGCUAACUACGUGCCAGCAGCCGCGGUAAUACGUAGGGUGCAAGCGUUAAUCGGAAUUACUGGGCGUAAAGCGUGCGCAGGCGGUUUUGUAAGUCUGACGUGAAAUCCCCGGGCUCAACCUGGGAAUUGCGUUGGAGACUGCAAGGCUGGAGUCUGGCAGAGGGGGGUAGAAUUCCACGUGUAGCAGUGAAAUGCGUAGAGAUGUGGAGGAACACCGAUGGCGAAAGGCAGCCCCCUGGGUCAAGACUGACGCUCAUGCACGAAAGCGUGGGGAGCAAACAGGAUUAGAUACCCUGGUAGUCCCACGCCCUAAAGCGAUGUCUACUAGUUGUCGGGUUUUAAUUAACUUGGUAACGCAGCUAACGCGUGAAGUAGACCGCCUGGGGAGUACGGUCGCAAGAUUAAAACUCAAAGGAAUUGACGGGGUCAUA